This 232-nucleotide ribosomal RNA is filed under the name uncultured bacterium. Its description in RNAcentral is "partial 16S ribosomal RNA". It matches the Rfam family "Bacterial small subunit ribosomal RNA", at positions 104 to 334 of the family's 1533-position model. The record is from RNAcentral.
CGGGGUGAGUAACGCGUGGAUAACCUGCCUCACACAGGGGAGUAACAGUUAGAAAUGACUGCUAAUACCGCAUAAGCGCACAGUACCGCAUGGUACAGUGUGAAAAACUCCGGUGGUGUGAGAUGGAUCCGCGUCUGAUUAGGUAGUUGGUGGGGUAACGGCCCACCAAGCCGACGAUCAGUAGCCGACCUGAGAGGGUGACCGGCCACAUUGGGACUGAGACACGGCCCAA